CUUCACACUGACAGCAAGCCCUGUCACCAGGCCAGCAGGGAGGCAGCUCAGGAAGCUAAGCUGGCUGCAACACAACCUUCCAAAAAUACGUUUCCAGCUGGCCUUGCUCCACGACGCAGCUCACCGUGGAGAUGGGUGAGAGUUUGCGCUCACCUGUGGCUGGGAGCGGGCAGGAGGGCACAUGGCGGCGCCUCUGGCCUGCGGUACCGGGCAGCCUCCUGCUGCCGCGAGACCGACCUCCCGGAAGGUGCCGGAAUGUCUCUGAGCAGCCCUGCCGUCCUCUUCAUCCUGCUGCCCCCGGUGCCUGCCCGUGAGCCCUGCCAGGGUUCGGCUGCUGCUGCUCCCCGUGCCUCCGUGGCGGGCUCCAUCCGCGUUAAUGCCUCAUGUCCACUCACUCAACAAGGACCAAGACUUGAGCCCAAGUGUGUUGGCCAGGAUCCCCUGUGAGCAGCACAGGACAGGAAGAAAGCUGUCAAAUCCUCGUGACACCUCGGGGGUUCCUCUUGAUUGCUGGUGACAAACUAAUUUUUGGAUGACCUUUUAUAUCCUUUAGUGAUCAUCCAGCAUUGUGGCAUGGUCAUUUUAGUUUUCAGCUUCCAUAAAUCUUAGGACAGGCAGCUGUUCAUCGUCUGUUUCUCCUUUGUUUUUCUGUAAUAAAUGUUUUUAAAUAUAUGCCA
RNAcentral lists this long non-coding RNA (677 nucleotides) under Anser cygnoides (Swan goose). Its description in RNAcentral is "lncRNA (ENSACDG00005011203.1)". Lineage: Eukaryota; Metazoa; Chordata; Aves; Anseriformes; Anatidae. The record is from RNAcentral.